ACUAGGCUCUGGCUCCAAUUACCAAAGUCUCACUGACCUACACAUAAGGUCUUGUGAUGGUCUAGAAUUGUUUCCCAAUGGAGGCUUGCCCACACCAAAUUUAAAACGACUGUGGAUAAGAGAGUGUCAACAUCUCAAGUCCUUACCUGAUCGGAUGGAUCUACUUUCGUCCCUUUCGUCACUGUGGAUAAAUAAGUGUCAACAUCUCAAGUCCUUACCUGAUCGGAUGGAUCUACUAUCGUCCCUUUCGUCCCUGGAUGUGUCUUCUUGUGCUUCAUUAAUGGAACUCUUUCCCCAAGAGAAUAUUCCUCCAAAUCUGUCUAGCCUUGAAAUCAGAAAUUGCGGAAAACUAAAGCCCCCGGGGGAG
Molecule: long non-coding RNA, 367 nt
Filed under: Olea europaea (common olive)
Lineage: Eukaryota; Viridiplantae; Streptophyta; Magnoliopsida; Lamiales; Oleaceae
Description: long non-coding RNA (OEUR_LNC007017)
Source: RNAcentral